UGAGUAACACGUAUGCAACCUGCCUGCCACAGCCGGAUAAUCGGGAGAAAUUCCGUCUAAUACGGCAUAAUGCAUCGACGGGACAUCCUGUUGGUGCCAAAGGUUGAUUCCGGUGGCGGAUGGGCAUGCGUCGCAUUAGUUAGUUGGCGGUGUAACGGACCACCAAGACGACGAUGCGUAGGGGUUCUGAGAGGAAGGUCCCCCACACUGGUACUGAGACACGGACCAGACUCCUACGGGAGGCAGCAG
Molecule: ribosomal RNA, 249 nt
Filed under: uncultured bacterium
Lineage: Bacteria
Description: partial 16S ribosomal RNA
Rfam family: Bacterial small subunit ribosomal RNA
Source: RNAcentral